Molecule: ribosomal RNA, 216 nt
Filed under: Glomus sp.
Lineage: Eukaryota; Fungi; Glomeromycota; Glomeromycetes; Glomerales; Glomeraceae
Also listed under: 1 other name
Description: partial small subunit ribosomal RNA
Rfam family: Eukaryotic small subunit ribosomal RNA (bases 55-216)
Source: RNAcentral
GGGUCAGCAGGUCGGUCGUGCCACUGGUAUGAACUGGCCUCGCUGAUCCCUCCCUCUUGACGAACUGUGAUGCCAUUAAUUUGGUGUCGCAGGGAAUCAGGACUGUUACUUUGAAAAAAUUAGAGUGUUUAAAGCAGGCUCACGCUUGAAUACAUUAGCAUGGAAUAAUGAAAUAGGACGUUUGAUCCUAUUUUGUUGGUUUCUAGGAUUGACGUA